RNAcentral lists this ribosomal RNA (472 nucleotides) under Limnohabitans sp. RNAcentral's name for it is "bacterial SSU rRNA". It matches the Rfam family "Bacterial small subunit ribosomal RNA", at positions 391 to 856 of the family's 1533-position model. The record is from RNAcentral. Lineage: Bacteria; Pseudomonadati; Pseudomonadota; Betaproteobacteria; Burkholderiales; Comamonadaceae.
GCCAUUCCGCGUGCAGGACGAAGGCCUUCGGGUUGUAAACUGCUUUUGUACGGAACGAAAAGGUCUCUAUUAAUACUAGGGGCUCAUGACGGUACCGUAAGAAUAAGCACCGGCUAACUACGUGCCAGCAGCCGCGGUAAUACGUAGGGUGCAAGCGUUAAUCGGAAUUACUGGGCGUAAAGCGUGCGCAGGCGGUUAUAUAAGACAGAUGUGAAAUCCCCGGGCUCAACCUGGGAACUGCAUUUGUGACUGUAUAGCUGGAGUGCGGCAGAGGGGGAUGGAAUUCCGCGUGUAGCAGUGAAAUGCGUAGAUAUGCGGAGGAACACCGAUGGCGAAGGCAAUCCCCUGGGCCUGCACUGACGCUCAUGCACGAAAGCGUGGGGAGCAAACAGGAUUAGAUACCCUGGUAGUCCACGCCCUAAACGAUGUCAACUGGUUGUUGGGUCUUCACUGACUCAGUAACGAAGCUAAC